Molecule: ribosomal RNA, 280 nt
Filed under: uncultured bacterium
Lineage: Bacteria
Description: partial 16S ribosomal RNA
Rfam family: Bacterial small subunit ribosomal RNA
Source: RNAcentral
GACGAACGCUGGCGGCGUGCUUAACACAUGCAAGUCGAGCGGUAAGGCCCUUUCGGGGGUACGACGAGCGGCGAACGGGUGAGUAACACGUGGGUGACCUGCCCUCCAGCUCUGGGAUAAGCCUGGGAAACCGGGUCUAAUACCGGAUAUGACUCCAUGACGCAUGUUGUGGGGUGGAAAGCCUUGUGCGGCUGAGGAUGGGCCCGCGGCCUAUCAGCUUGUUGGUGGGGUGAUGGCCUACCAAGGCGACGACGGGUAGCCGGCCUGAGAGGGCGACCGG